RNAcentral lists this unclassified non-coding RNA (313 nucleotides) under Hevea brasiliensis (rubber tree). Lineage: Eukaryota; Viridiplantae; Streptophyta; Magnoliopsida; Malpighiales; Euphorbiaceae. The record is from RNAcentral.
GGGUCGUAUCUACGUGGGGAUCUAUCACUCGGCGGUGUGGGUUACCUCCCUGCUACGGCGGGUUGGAGGACUGCGCCCGGGACAGGCCGGACCUUGGGGGAGCCCACGAGCCGCGUGGGAGCGUAGCGGUUUCCGGUGGAACUGGCGCCGGAGGCCCUCAGCGGUUUGUACCCACGCUUUCCUCCAUUUGAGCCCCCGCUCAGUUUGCUAGCAAAACCCGGCCCGUGGUAUGCCGUGACUGCGGAAAAUUUCGAAAGAAACACUCUGUAAGGUGGUAUGAGUCAUGACGCACGCAGGGAGAGGCUAAGGCUUA